AGCAGCCGCGGUAAUUCCAGCUCCAAUAGCGUAUAUUAAAGUUGCUGCAGUUAAAAAGCUCGUAGUUGAAUUUCGGGACCAAUAUGUCGGUCGUGCCUCGGUACGUACUGGCAUCGUUGGUUUCCCCCUUCUGACGAACCAUGAUGUCAUUUAUUUGGUGUCGUGGGGAAUCAGGACUGUUACUUUGAAAAAUUAGAGUGUUUAAAGCAGGCUCACGCUUGAAUACAUUAGCAUGGAAUAAUGAAAUAGGACGUUUGAUUCUAUUUUGUUGGUUUCUAGGAUCGACGUAAUGAUUAAUAGGGAUAGUUGGGGGCAUUAGUAUUCAAUUGUCAGAGGUGAAAUUCUUGGAUUUAUUGAAGACUAACUACUGCGAAAGCAUUUGCCAAGGAUGUUUUCAUUAAUCAAGAACGAAAGUUAGGGGAUCGAAGACGAUCAGAUACCGUCGUAGUCUUAACCAUAAACUAUGCCGACUAGGGAUCGGAUGAUGUUAAUUUUUAAUGUACUCAUUC
This 509-nucleotide ribosomal RNA is filed under the name uncultured Glomus. RNAcentral's name for it is "SSU rRNA". It matches the Rfam family "Eukaryotic small subunit ribosomal RNA", at positions 569 to 1081 of the family's 1831-position model. The record is from RNAcentral. Lineage: Eukaryota; Fungi; Glomeromycota; Glomeromycetes; Glomerales; Glomeraceae.